AUGCUGGGGACUUCAGCUUGCCACAGAGGAUCCAAGCUAUUUGCUAAGACACAGGCUUCCCUCACGCCCUGCCCCUCGCACCUCUCUCCGGAGCCGCUCAGCACUGCGGCUCCUACCGCCGCUCCCGAAGGCGCUGUGGCGGCAUCCGCAAUUAACCGAGAGCCACUGCAGGGCUCUCAGCUGUGCCUCUCGCAGAUGCCAUUUGCCAGCUUGGCACAGGCAGCUCUGCAGCUCCUCUGCAGGCACUCUGGGGUUCGCCUCAACCGAGGCUUUGGCUCGGCUCUGGUGAUUCUCCCGCUCUCCGCGCAGGAACUGCCGAUGGCGAUUAACGUUAAACCCACCAGCAAGGGCCCGGGCGACACAGCACAAACCGCUUCGCUUCCCCGGAGCCUACUGUGGCCUCCCGAGGGACCCUGUUUUCCCCCUGCCUUUCCCGCAGGCAACGCGGCCGCAGCGGGAGGGCUCUGUGCUGGACUCGGCGGCCAUUCGCUGCCCGGGGGAUGGCGGCUGCCAUAUAGGUCCUGCAGCGCCAGCGAAGGGGAGGCGGCGCUGGAGCGGCCGCUCCGAUCCUCGCUCCCUCCGUCCGUCGGCGGGCAGCUCCCGCCAGCGAGCCGCUGGCCGGCGGCGGGACCUAUAUGCUCUCGCGGAAGGUUACCACUGCCUUGCACGGAGGCUGCCGACGGAAGCGGUGCUGAGGCUUCUGAGGCAGCACUUUGUCAAGGAGCGCCUGAUUGGCUAACGGGACUCUGCAAUGGUUAUCUGGUGCUUUAUGUAGGCUGUGUCCAAAGCCAUCAGAGUGUAUGGAAAAGGCAAUAUGGAGUAGUCUGCCAUCUUAUGGAGCCUGAAUGGUACUGCCAAAUUACAGAAUGUGGAGCUACAUGAUCAUAUUAGCUCCAAAACAGCAGGGAGAUCACAGGAAGCUCACAGGUUGCUAUAUAGAAAAUACUGUUCUGCAUCCGACUGGAUUUCACUUUGGGUCAGUAUCUUCCUACAUCUAUGGCAAGGUGAGGUUCUUGAAUGAAGUACUUGCUGCUGGUAAGAGGAAUCGGUCCAUCCCCAUGAAGGAUUGUGUCCUAAACUUUACCAGUAAAAGCUUUUCUUGGCUUUGAAGCAUGACUUGUUAAAAGGCUUCCAGAAUUAUUGUGAACCGCAGCUCCAGGUAGUAUUCAUGUACAUUUUUAGAAUUUACUCAGUUCUUGACCUUGGUGGAUUUUUGUAGCAAUAUAUUUCACCAUGGAAUUACUUAUUGAUUUGGCAAACAGUAAUCAAGCACAUUCUUCUACAAAAACAAUACAAGAUUUUAUGUACCAUUACAAAGGAGGAAACAUUACUACUCUCUUGUUUUGUCUGAGAAGCUGACAUACAGCAACCUGCCUUCAGCUGGCUGUGACUUUUAGAUCAGAUUAUCUUAAAAUGUCAUAGUGGGAUUCUGGUGUUAAUUUGCAGUAUCAACAUAUUUUAGGGUGGAUGCUUAGUGUUUUACUGAAACGUAAUGUUUUCUGGGUUUUCUAAUAAUUCAAACCAGCUUUAUCUAGUUAUUUUCAGCUUUCAUAAAUAUGUGUAUUUUUUUUACCCUCAUGCAUAAAUCAAUGAAUAUCAUUUUGUCUAACAUUUGGUUUACUUCUGUUUAGCAAUAGAAGCCUGUACAGAUGACUGCAAACCAGAACCCUCAGACCUUGGAUUUGUACGUUUGUGCUGAUUUCUUGCUUAAGGGAGCUCAGUUCAACAUGCUGUACUGCCAGAUCCAUCCCUGCAGUAAUUCUCUUGGCUUCACUGGAUGGCCACAUGGGAUUGCCUGUGCUAUCUGGCUAAGAGAAGAGAUUCUGUACAAUUCCAAAGGGAUCUGCUUGACAAUAUUAAAAAAUGAAGUCUGAAAAGCAUGCUAACUGUGUUGGGCUUUGGACAGUUCAACUGUUUUGUUCAAAGUAGAGGCCAUGAGAGCCACUUUCCAUUCAGAGAUCACAAGAAACAAUUAAAACUUUGAUUUACGUAGUGAGAAGUAGAAAAUAUUGUGCUUACUCUGGGUACUGAAUAGGUGCAGACAAUAGAAGGGCCAAGGAGCUCAGCUGAUUUUCUGACAAUUUAGAAAUAAUUUCAGAACUGAGGAAGUCAUUGGGAAGCUGCUGUAAUUCUGUCUGUGUGGCAUCAGAAAUGCUGGAAGGAAGAUUUUUAGAAUACAGCUGCCUACAAAAGGUCUGGGAACUACAGGCAAAUAAAUUGUUCCUAUUCAUGUGGAUUUCUUUGCA
This is a long non-coding RNA of Cyanistes caeruleus (blue tit), 2246 nucleotides long. NCBI's taxonomy places the organism in Eukaryota, Metazoa, Chordata, Aves, Passeriformes, Paridae. The record is from Ensembl.